CGAGCGGCGGACGGGUGAGUAAUGUCUGGGAAACUGCCUGAUGGAGGGGGAUAACUACUGGAAACGGUAGCUAAUACCGCAUAACGUCGCAAGACCAAAGAGGGGGACCUUCGGGCCUCUUGCCAUCAGAUGUGCCCAGAUGGGAUUAGCUAGUAGGUGGGGUAACGGCUCACCUAGGCGACGAUCCCUAGCUGGUCUGAGAGGAUGACCAGCCACACUGGAACUGAGACACGGUCCAGACUCCUACGGGAGGCAGCAGUGGGGAAUAUUGCACAAUGGGCGCAAGCCUGAUGCAGCCAUGCCGCGUGUAUGAAGAAGGCCUUCGGGUUGUAAAGUACUUUCAGCGGGGAGGAAGGCGUUGAGGUUAAUAACCUCAGCGAUUGACGUUACCCGCAGAAGAAGCACCGGCUAACUCCGUGCCAGCAGCCGCGGUAAUACGGAGGGUGCAAGCGUUAAUCGGAAUUACUGGGCGUAAAGCGCACGCAGGCGGUCUGUCAAGUCGGAUGUGAAAUCCCCGGGCUCAACCUGGGAACUGCAUUCGAAACUGGCAGGCUAGAGUCUUGUAGAGGGGGGUAGAAUUCCAGGUGUAGCGGUGAAAUGCGUAGAGAUCUGGAGGAAUACCGGUGGCGAAGGCGGCCCCCUGGACAAAGACUGACG
This 657-nucleotide ribosomal RNA is filed under the name Enterobacter sp. Its description in RNAcentral is "bacterial SSU rRNA". It matches the Rfam family "Bacterial small subunit ribosomal RNA", at positions 92 to 745 of the family's 1533-position model. The record is from RNAcentral. Lineage: Bacteria; Pseudomonadati; Pseudomonadota; Gammaproteobacteria; Enterobacterales; Enterobacteriaceae.